This is a non-coding RNA of Phascolarctos cinereus (koala), 774 nucleotides long. Lineage: Eukaryota; Metazoa; Chordata; Mammalia; Diprotodontia; Phascolarctidae. The record is from the annotation of a RefSeq genome assembly.
UGUGAGAUAACAGCCCAGCCUCCUAUUGGCUCAGCAGCCAGGCUGAAAAUUUUUUCUGUUUCCCCAGGGGCAGAAAAGCUAGAAAUAUUUAGGAGUGAGAAAGAAAGACUUCCUUGGACUUGAGAGGACCCAUAUCCCAGACCCUGGAAAGAAGAAGGAUGGAAAAGCUCCUAGGAAUUUCAUUACUGAUCCUGUGUCUUCAGCUGGGCUGGGUGAGCUGCCUCCAGAAGGUGGAACAGAGUCCGCAGUCCUUGAGGGUCCAGGAGGGAGAGAACAUCACUAUCAACUGCAACUUCACAGAAACUCCCCAAGGCUCCCAGUGGUUCAGGCAGGAUGCUGGGAAAGGCCUCAUCUCCCUAUUUUACUUGGCUUCAGGGAUGAAAGAAGAAGGCAGAUUGAAAUCUGUGAUCAACUUACAGGAACGUUACAGCUCCCUGUACGUCAAAGCUUCCCAGCCUGGAGACUCAGCCACCUACCUUUGUGGUGUUAGGGCACAGUGAUCCCUAGGCACCUGCAGGCUAUGCACAAACCCUGCAUCUGGGGCUGUAGGCACACUCGCUGCCAGGGCGCCCCAUGAAGGCAUACUAGGACUCUUUACACAAGUUGACUUUCUUGAUUAUUAAAUCUUCCUUUUUGCCCCUUCUACCUUUCAGCCUUUUUCUGGUUCCUUUUAACGUUAGUGCCAUCCCUCUGAGAUUACCUUCCUUAUAUCAGGUUCCAGCUUCUAUGUACAUAAUUAUUUGUGUGUUGUUUCCCCAUUUGUUCAUUAGUUCU